RNAcentral lists this long non-coding RNA (511 nucleotides) under Phoenix dactylifera (date palm). Its description in RNAcentral is "long non-coding RNA (PDAC_LNC014264)". Lineage: Eukaryota; Viridiplantae; Streptophyta; Magnoliopsida; Arecales; Arecaceae. The record is from RNAcentral.
CACGUCUUAUGUAUGCUCGAUGCAGAGGGUGAUUGAUCUCACAAUCAUUUGUGUGGAGACACUAAUACAAAGAUGUGGGUGCUCAUUAGAAGAAUGAGUUUACUGAAUUGACCUACCAAGAGAAAUCUUAUGAAGUCUUACUUACAUGUCAAAAGAUGAUUCUCUUAGUGGGAGUUGUGCAACUGAUCCUAUGACCUGAGAUCACCAUGGUAUCUUAUACACAUGAACCCAUGUUUUGGUUUACACUCAUUCAUGACAAUAAGUUAUAUACGAGGUCUUCUGGAUAUGGUGAAUUGUGUACGAAGAUUAUGAGUAGGUCAACAAGGAAUUAAUCACUUCUAGUAAGAGAAGAUAGCAUCCUAUUUAUUCUAAUCAUAUGAUAAUUCAGAAAGCCUUUGAUCAAAGCGGAAUAAAAAUUAGAAAGAGUUUCUAAUGUUUCAUUAUUUGAAUUAUCAUUAAAAGAUUGAGAAAAAUAUGAAUAUGAAAUUGAGUUUGACAUAUAUUCAUACUC